CAGCCGCCGCGGUAAUACCAACCCCGCGAGUGGUCGGGACGUUUAUUGGGCCUAAAGCGUCCGUAGCCGGCCCGGUAAGUCCCUCCUUAAAGCCCACGGCUCAACCGUGGGAGCGGAGGGAUACUGCCGGGCUAGGGGGCGGGAGAGGCCGGGGGUACUCCUGGGGUAGGGACGCAAUCCUAUAAUCCCAGGAGGACCACCAGUGGCGAAGGCGCCCGGCUAGCACGCGCCCGACGGUGAGGGACGAAAGCUGGGGGAGCAAAGGGGAUUAGAUACCCCCGUAGUCCCAGCUGUAAACGAUGCAGGCUAGGUGUUAGGCGGGCUUCGUGCCCGCCUAGUGCCGUAGGGAAGCCGUUAAGCCUGCCGCCUGGGGAGUACGGCCGCAAGGCUGAAACUUAAAGGAAUUGGCGGG
This 412-nucleotide ribosomal RNA is filed under the name uncultured microorganism. RNAcentral's name for it is "bacterial SSU rRNA". It matches the Rfam family "Archaeal small subunit ribosomal RNA", at positions 459 to 872 of the family's 1478-position model. The record is from RNAcentral.